GAUGAACGCUGGCGGCGUGCCUAAUACAUGCAAGUCGAGCGAACAGACGAGGAGCUUGCUCCUCUGACGUUAGCGGCGGACGGGUGAGUAACACGUGGAUAACCUACCUAUAAGACUGGGAUAAAUUCGGGAAACCGGAGCUAAUACCGGAUAAUAUAUUGAACCGUAUGGUUCAAUAGUGAAAGACGGUUUUGCUGUCACUUAUAGAUGGAUCCGCGCCGCAUUAGCUAGUUGGUAAGGUAACGGCUUACCAAGGCAACGAUGCGUAGCCGACCUGAGAGGGUGAUCGGCCACACUGGAACUGAGACACGGUCCAGACUCCUACGGGAGGCAGCAGUAGGGAAUCUUCCGCAAUGGGCGAAAGCCUGACGGAGCAACGCCGCGUGAGUGAUGAAGGUCUUCGGAUCGUAAAACUCUGUUAUUAGGGAAGAACAAAUGUGUAAGUAACUAUGCACGUCUUGACGGUACCUAAUCAGAAAGCCACGGCUAACUACGUG
This 497-nucleotide ribosomal RNA is filed under the name uncultured bacterium. RNAcentral's name for it is "partial 16S ribosomal RNA". It matches the Rfam family "Bacterial small subunit ribosomal RNA", at positions 28 to 507 of the family's 1533-position model. The record is from RNAcentral.